Molecule: long non-coding RNA, 672 nt
Organism: Pan troglodytes (chimpanzee)
Lineage: Eukaryota; Metazoa; Chordata; Mammalia; Primates; Hominidae
Exons: 3
Source: RefSeq, a predicted model, not a curated record
AGCUUGUGAAGUCUGUAGCUAAAUCUCAGGAACAGAAAUGUUGAGAAGGGUAGACUGAUGACUACCCCUCAGUGGAAACAGACCAGAUCUCAGCUUAUCUGGCUGGAAGGAAAGCAAAAAAAACAAAGCAAAACAAACCAAAAAAUCCUAAGAAACAAAAGACAGAUUCAAGCCAAUCUGUGAUUUGUAAAAUAAGCAAGGUGCAGGCUUGUAUACUGGGCCACAUGGUGACUUGGAUUUUUAAGGGUUACACACAUGAGGCAACUACAAUCCAGAGGAAUUUGUGACUAUCCUCAGAGGGCACAGCCAUUGAUGCCUCUUUCACUCUGCCCAUUAUGUCCCACUGAACAGCUUGGGUGUCAGAGCCAGCCAUUUUGCUCUGUGAGGAAGUAAUUUUGCAGUUGAAUUGGACCUGGUUGCAUUUUCUAGUCUCUGCUUUCUCCAAAUAUCCCAGUACUUAGUUUUUGCUCUGGUUGAAAAAAAAAAAAAAAAAAACAAAACCUACACUAAUGGACCAUUUGGAAAAGACAGCUCCCGGGAAAGGAACUGACAGGGAGAGAAUGUGGAUGUGACUCGGCUGCAUAAACGUCAUGCGAACAUUUGCAGAUUGCUUAACCUGGCAAGAUUUAGUUUCCUUACCUCUCAAAUAAAGAUCGUAAUUUUUUAUCUGCC